GAUGAACGCUGGCGGCGUGCCUAACACAUGCAAGUCGAGCGAAGCGCUUAAGUCAGAAUCUUCGGAGGAAGACUUUUGUGACUGAGCGGCGGACGGGUGAGUAACGCGUGGGUAACCUGCCUUACACAGGGGGAUAACAGUUAGAAAUGACUGCUAAUACCGCAUAAGACCACAGUACUGCAUGGUACAGUGGUAAAAACUGAGGUGGUGUAAGAUGGACCCGCGUCUGAUUAGGUAGUUGGUGGGGUAAUGGCCCACCAAGCCGACGAUCAGUAGCCGGCCUGAGAGGGUGGACGGCCACAUUGGGACUGAGACACGGCCCAG
Molecule: ribosomal RNA, 324 nt
Filed under: uncultured bacterium
Lineage: Bacteria
Description: bacterial SSU rRNA
Rfam family: Bacterial small subunit ribosomal RNA
Source: RNAcentral